GAUGAACGCUAGCGGGAGGCCUAACACAUGCAAGCCGAGCGGUAUUGUUUCUUCGGAAAUGAGAGAGCGGCGUACGGGUGCGUAACACGUGUGCAACCUGCCUUUAUCUGGGGGAUAGCCCUUCGAAAGGAAGAUUAAUACUCCAUAAUAUAUUGAACGGCAUCGUUUAAUAUUGAAAGCUCCGGCGGAUAGAGAUGGGCACGCGCAAGAUUAGCUAGUUGGUGAGGUAACGGCUCACCAAGGCGAUGAUCUUUAGGGGGCCUGAGAGGGUGAUCCCCCACACUGGUACUGAGACACGGACCAGACUCCUACGGGAGGCAGCAGUGAGGAAUAUUGGUCAAUGGGUGCAAGCCUGAACCAGCCAUCCCGCGUGAAGGACGACUGCCCUAUGGGUUGUAAACUUCUUUUGUAUAGGGAUAAACCUACCCUCGUGAGGGUAGCUGAAGGUACUAUACGAAUAAGCACCGGCUAACUCCGUG
RNAcentral lists this ribosomal RNA (479 nucleotides) under uncultured bacterium. Its description in RNAcentral is "partial 16S ribosomal RNA". It matches the Rfam family "Bacterial small subunit ribosomal RNA", at positions 28 to 507 of the family's 1533-position model. The record is from RNAcentral.